UUGGAGUCCUUGAGACUUUAGUGGCGCAGCUAACGCACUAAGUUGACCGCCUGGGGAGUACGGCCGCAAGGUUAAAACUCAAAUGAAUUGACGGGGGCCCGCACAAGCGGUGGAGCAUGUGGUUUAAUUCGAUGCAACGCGAAGAACCUUACCUGGUCUUGACAUAUCUAGAAUCCUGCAGAGAUGCGGGAGUGCCUUCGGGAAUUAGAAUACAGGUGCUGCAUGGCUGUCGUCAGCUCGUGUCGUGAGAUGUUGGGUUAAGUCCCGCAACGAGCGCAACCCUUGUCCUUAGUUACCAGCGGUUUGGCCGGGAACUCUAAGGAUACUGCCAGUGACAAACUGGAGGAAGGCGGGGACGACGUCAAGUCAUCAUGGCCCUUACGACCAGGGCUACACACGUGCUACAAUGGUAGGUACAGAGGGCAGCUACACAGCGAUGUGAUGCGAAUCUCAAAAAGCCUAUCGUAGUCCANAUUGGAGUCUGCAACUCGACUCCAUGAAGUAGGAAUCGCUAGUAAUCGCGGAUCAGAAUGCCGCGGUGAAUACGUUCCCGGGC
Molecule: ribosomal RNA, 556 nt
Filed under: uncultured bacterium
Lineage: Bacteria
Description: bacterial SSU rRNA
Rfam family: Bacterial small subunit ribosomal RNA
Source: RNAcentral